UUUGGUAUUGUUUGAGAGGACAAUUCUGGACUAGUCAAAGUUUGUACUUUGUCCCGAUAGAGAGCAGAGUUUAGUAAGUUGUUACGAUUUUCUUUGGUUGCUUCAGCAAAUAAGAUCAGGUCAUCAGCAAAAGGAACCGGACUUAGAAACUUAUAUCGGUUUCCAUUUCCUUUGGUUAACUUGUUCCAUUCCCAUUUCUCUUCUGUUAUUUUCUUGGAUGUACUGGUGUACUAAAAGUAGUACAUUAUUUAUUCAGUACAACCCUAAAUCAAAGGUAUAAUGAUAUUACUAAAUAGUAGUAUAUUAUUUGUUAAAUAUGCACGAUAUUACCAAAUUCUGAGGCAUACUGAUGCACUCAAUGUAAACCUAAUUUAAGAGAUCUGAAAAUUUGAAAGAAGAAAACGAACGAGAGGAAACUUAAUUGUUGGAUAUCAAUUAUCAUUACAUCAGGUGAAAAUACUCUUUAACAUAACCAAAGAAAAAAUCAUUACAUCAGGUGAAAUACUCUUUAACAUAACCAAAGAAAAAGAAAACUUACAUUUCCAAAGCUUAUAUCAAUUUGAAUGAUCUCUUUCUUAUACUCUGUCUUCAGUGGCUGAGCUGCAGGAGUGAAGUGCACCAAACAGACGAAAUUGAUUGCUAGAUUGUACUGUAAGUCUGUAAUUAAUGUUAGCCCUUCAAAGAUAAUGACUGCGCAGCAUAACAUGUUCCUGGACUAACUUUAAAUAUCAUAUUAAAACAUGUUAUGUACAACAAGAAGUCAAUCCAUGGAGAGGAAAGGAUUUGGCAACUUUAUUUGUUUGGUUAAAAAAAAUGAGGACGAUGAAAUAAUACAAAAUAGCUGCAUUUGUUUUUGAGCUUUGGACUAACCGUUAAAGAGUAAAAGCCAGGUCAAAUGUGUGUGAGCAACACAGCAAUUGCCGUGUAAGUGUUUCAUGUUUAAUAGCACACUUUAGUGGUAGUUCAAGUGUCUAAUAGGUCACAACCUCAAUUGAGGUAUCGAAAUGAAAAAUCUUGACAACUUUAGGGGGUUGUUUAUGGAAUUGGCCUUGUUAAAACAAAAGGCAACAAAAUCUUAGUAGUAAUAUAUUAAGAGGACUUAAAUUGUGUGCAUAUGGAGUCAAUUAAUAAAUUUUGCUCCCUCCAAAAAAGGUAAUAAAUGAAAACUGAUUCCGAAUCCUGAAAAAAAAAAAAAAAA
Nicotiana tabacum (common tobacco) is the source of this 1198-nucleotide non-coding RNA. Lineage: Eukaryota; Viridiplantae; Streptophyta; Magnoliopsida; Solanales; Solanaceae. The record is from RefSeq and is a predicted model, not a curated record.